Molecule: long non-coding RNA, 1062 nt
Organism: Trifolium pratense (red clover)
Lineage: Eukaryota; Viridiplantae; Streptophyta; Magnoliopsida; Fabales; Fabaceae
Exons: 11
Source: RefSeq, a predicted model, not a curated record
ACUCUUUUUUUUCCCUCUCUACAUAGAACGAAAGAAACGCAUACUAUUCAAAUUCAAAUACUCAAUUCAUGAAUGGGUUGGUUUAUGCUCUGUGAAAGAGAUAGUUUCUUGAUUAGGGUUCUUUCGACUCGCUCCGUAACUCGUUCUUUUCGUUUUUGAUUUUUUGAUCAUGACGAAGGCUAAAGCUGAUUCCAAACCCGCUGAUUCCAGCUUAAGGGUGCAGGAACAUGAAGGAAACAGAUGAAAAGUCGCUAAGGGUUUUAAUUUGAUUUUCUUCAUUUUCAUGAGAGAGUGGUGGAGCUGAAUUAUAAUUUGUAGUUGCUCUGUUCUUGGAAUUUAGUUCCUUACUCAUUUCCAAGGUAUUUGGUAGUUUCUUGCUGCUUAAAAGAGCUACAGAAAUAAAGAAAGCUGGUAAAUGAAUGAUUGUUGAACUGAAUUCAACUGAGUAGGAUCCAUCUUUCAAUGGCUCCAAAAUGAAUAAAGGUUGAAAUUUUUGGGUCUUUCAGGACAGGGUUGUACCUUCCAACUAGUGAUAUUGAUGUCGUGAUUCUGAAAUCAGGCUUACCGAAUCCACAGAUUGGUUUGAAGGCAAUUUCUAGAUCAUUGUCAGAGAAGUAUGGAAAAAAGAUACAUGGUCUGGUCUGGUUACUCAAGUAUCAGUUUUUUGCUUGUGAAUGUUUCUCAGGUCAUUGGAAAGGCUCGGGUGCCAAUUAUUAAAUUCGUUGAAAAGAAGAGUGGUCUUUCCUUUGAUAUAAGUGGCUAAGUGGCAUCAACUGCGGCCGUUGUGUUUGAUUUUGAAAGUAUUUUUACAACAAAGAGAACUUAAUGAGUUUGCAGGUAUAUUCUGGUGGGAUUGGUUCGUAUGCUCUCCUUACCAUGCUGAUGGUGAUGUUACGGAAUGUUCGUCAGAGCCAACCUACUGCAGAGCACAACUUAGGGGUCCUUUUGGUACAUUUCUUUGAUGUUUAUGGACGUAAAUUAAAUACCUCAGAUGUUGGUGUAUCCUGCAUUGGAGAAGGCACCUUUUUCUGAAAGAGUAGUACAGGGUUUUACAACAAAGCA